This 463-nucleotide ribosomal RNA is filed under the name uncultured bacterium. RNAcentral describes it as "partial 16S ribosomal RNA". It matches the Rfam family "Bacterial small subunit ribosomal RNA", at positions 29 to 523 of the family's 1533-position model. The record is from RNAcentral.
AACGAACGCUGGCGGCAGGCUUAACACAUGCAAGUCGAGCGCCCCGCAAGGGGAGCGGCGCACGGGUGCAAAACGCGUGGGGAUCUGCCUUUCUGUUCGGAACAACAUCGGGAAACUGAUGCUAAUACCGGAUACACCAACAGGCCGUGGAUGCUUGUUGGGAAAGAUUUAUCGCAGAAAGAUGGAACCCGCGUAUGAUUAGCUAGUUGGUGAGGUAACGGCUCACCAAGGCGACGAUCAUUAGCUGGUCUGAGAGGACGAUCAGCCACACUGGAACUGAGACACGGUCCAGACUCCUACGGGAGGCAGCAGUGGGGAAUAUUGGACAAUGGGGGAAACCCUGAUCCAGCCAUGCCGCGUGAGUGAUGAAGGCCUUCGGGUUGUAAAGCUCUUUUGGGUGGGACGAUAAUGACGGUACCACCAGAAUAAGAUCCGGCAAACUUCGUGCCAGCAGCAGCCGCAG